UAAUACGUAGGGGGCAAGCGUUGUCCGGAUUUACUGGGUGUAAAGGGCGCGUAGGCGGGUUUGUAAGUCAGUGGUGAAAUCCUGCGGCUUAACCGUAGAACUGCCAUUGAUACUGCAAAUCUUGAGUUUGGAAGAGAGAAGCGGAAUUCCAGGUGUAGUGGUGAAAUACGUAGAUAUCUGGAAGAACAUCAGUGGCGAAGGCGGCUUCUUGGUCCAUAACUGACGCUGAGGCGCGAAAGCGUGGGGAUCAAACAGGAUUAGAUACCCUGGUAGUCCACGCUGUAAACGAUGAAUACUAGGUGUUGGAUGCAUUAGCAUCCAGUGCCGCAGCUAACGCAUUAAGUAUUCCACCUGGGGAGUACGAUCGCAAGGUUGAAACUUAAAUGAAUUGACGG
Molecule: ribosomal RNA, 395 nt
Filed under: uncultured bacterium
Lineage: Bacteria
Description: bacterial SSU rRNA
Rfam family: Bacterial small subunit ribosomal RNA
Source: RNAcentral